RNAcentral lists this ribosomal RNA (437 nucleotides) under uncultured Clostridium sp. Its description in RNAcentral is "partial 16S ribosomal RNA". It matches the Rfam family "Bacterial small subunit ribosomal RNA", at positions 341 to 792 of the family's 1533-position model. Lineage: Bacteria; Bacillati; Bacillota; Clostridia; Eubacteriales; Clostridiaceae. The record is from RNAcentral. RNAcentral also lists the same sequence under 1 other name.
ACGGGAGGCAGCAGUGGGGGAUAUUGCACAAUGGGGGAAACCCUGAUGCAGCAACGCCGCGUGUGGGAAGAAGGUUUUCGGAUUGUAAACCACUGUUCUUAGCGAAGAAACAAAUGACGGUAACUAAGAAGAAAGCUCCGGCUAACUACGUGCCAGCAGCCGCGGUAAUACGUAGGGAGCGAGCGUUGUCCGGAUUUACUGGGUGUAAAGGGUGCGUAGGCGGCCCUGCAAGUCAGAAGUGAAAGCUACAGGCUCAACCUGUAAACUGCUUUUGAAACUGUGGGGCUUGAGUGAAGUAGAGGCAGGCGGAAUUCCCGGUGUAGCGGUGAAAUGCGUAGAGAUCGGGAGGAACACCAGUGGCGAAGGCGGCCUGCUGGGCUUUAACUGACGCUGAGGCACGAAAGCGUGGGUAGCAAACAGGAUUAGAUACCCUGGUA